GCCGCUAUAGCUCAGGGGUAGAGCACUUCCAUGGUAAGGAAGGGGUCCUCGGUUCAAUUCCGAGUAGCGGCU
This 72-nucleotide transfer RNA is filed under the name Cyclonatronum proteinivorum. It matches the Rfam family "tRNA". Rfam says of the family: Transfer RNA (tRNA) molecules are approximately 80 nucleotides in length. Their secondary structure includes four short double-helical elements and three loops (D, anti-codon, and T loops). RNAcentral also lists the same sequence under 1 other name. Lineage: Bacteria; Pseudomonadati; Balneolota; Balneolia; Balneolales; Cyclonatronaceae. The record is from Rfam by way of RNAcentral.